UACGGAGGGUGCAAGCGUUGCUCGGAAUUAUUGGGCGUAAAGGGUAGGUAGGUGGUCUCAUUUGUCUGGGGUGAAAUCCUUGGGCUUAACUCAAGAAGUGCCCCAGAAACGGUGAGACUAGAGUACUGGAGAGGCGAGUGGAAUUCCCGGUGUAGCGGUGAAAUGCGUAGAGAUCGGAAGGAACACCAGUGGCGAAGGCGGCCGCCUGGGCAGUAACUGACGCUGAUGCGCGAGAGCGUGGGGAGCAAACAGG
Molecule: ribosomal RNA, 253 nt
Filed under: uncultured bacterium
Lineage: Bacteria
Description: partial 16S ribosomal RNA
Rfam family: Bacterial small subunit ribosomal RNA
Source: RNAcentral